CCUACGGGAGGCAGCAGUGGGGAAUAUUGCACAAUGGACGCAACUCUGACCCAGCAACGCCGCGUGAAUGAUGAAGGUCUUCGGAUUGUAAAGUUCUGUGAUGGGGGAUGAACACAAUGACGGUACUCCCAUAGCACGCCACGGCUACCUACGUGCCAGCAGCCGCGGUAAUACGUAGGUGGCAAGCGUUAAACGGAAGGACUGGGCGUAAAGGUCGCGAAGGUGGUUUAGUAAGUUGGCGGUGUAAUUCCGGGGCUCAACCUCGGCGCUGCCGCCAAUACUAGUAGACUAGAGUGCAGGAGGGGGAGGUAGAAUUCCAGGUGUAGCGGUGGAAUGCGUAGAUAUUAGGAGGAAUACCAGGGGCGAAGGCGACUUACUGGACUAAGACUGACGCUGAGGCACGAAAGCGUGGGGAGCAAACAGGAUUAGAUACCCUAGUAGUC
This 443-nucleotide ribosomal RNA is filed under the name uncultured bacterium. Its description in RNAcentral is "partial 16S ribosomal RNA". It matches the Rfam family "Bacterial small subunit ribosomal RNA", at positions 338 to 795 of the family's 1533-position model. The record is from RNAcentral.